This is a long non-coding RNA of Thrips palmi, 1748 nucleotides long. RefSeq lists it as uncharacterized. The record is from RefSeq and is a predicted model, not a curated record. Lineage: Eukaryota; Metazoa; Arthropoda; Insecta; Thysanoptera; Thripidae. The transcript has 2 exons.
GAGGACGGAACAGAGAGGUAUAACUGGGAUAGGGCCCGCUCCGCCAAUUUCCGAACCUCGCGGGGCGCGCGACCUAACACGGUAGCCAACCUACGACACAAAAAACUUCAUUUCUGUUGGCGCCUUUUGCCCGACACGCAAUCAUUUUCAAAAUCUCUUAAUAGCUAUUACAUUUGGCAAAACAGGGAUAAAAGAUUGAACGUUCGUUUAAUAAAAAUAAAGGUGUAUGAAAUAUUAUUUUGAUAUUCGUUGAGCCAGCCCUGCUCGGGGCCUCCCGAAGAGGCUUCGGCUCCGAGCCGACCGCCACUUUGUUGCAGCAGUAGCGCGCUCGUGUCGUGUGUGAAGUUCGUUGGUGUUGUGUUCGUCGUUGGACUUGUCUUUAUUUUUGCUGCGGUAAGUAUUUUAAGUCUUUUGAAUUUAGUCCUUAGUUUCCCUUUUUGAAACUGCUGUACUGCGAAUCCCUCUCCAUUCCUCGGCGCCCCCGUUAACUCGUUUAUGUAAUGAAAUUCGGCGAUUGCCGAAACAGGCCUUGGCAGCCGGCUUUGCCGAGUGAUGGCGUCCAUUUUGUACUUAACAUUUUGUGAUAUGUUUUGAGUUUUUCAAUUCCGUGGAGUUUUCUCUAUCUUAUAUAGUCCCUCCUCAAUGCAUUAUCUAUAAUCAUAGUAAGUUUUUCGAAGUGUGCAGCGGCCUCAAGUGACUUUGCGGCCGAGUGGCCUAUACUCAUAACCUGCACUCCUUGCCCUGUUGGUCUCUUGUUUUGCUCAAGUGAAAAAAGUAAUCACUUCACUUUUUAAAUACAUUUCCCAGAUAUAUCAAUUUGUGGGUAAAAGUUGCUUUCUAUUGCAUUAACUCAUUUACAAAGAGUGGGGCCCCACCUAGUUUUAGUUUCUGAGUUAUGGAUGUUUACGUUAACUUUUGGUCGAUUCCCCCCAAAUUCUCCUCACAACACAGAAAAUGGUGCCCAGCCUUCAAAUUGUAGCCUUUAUAUCUCUUUUAGUAUUAGAUAAAGAUGGUGCUUUCCCUUUUUUAAUACCUUCCUUUGUUUUCCUGAAAAAAUAACACAUAAGAACAAAAUGUGGCAAAAAUAUCUCAAAUUUGAAUAAAAAUUAAACCAAGAGUAGUAAAGUAGCUUUUACACCCCUUACUGGGCUUAUAUUUCCUAAUCUUUUUCCUUUCUCUGUAAAAGUUCAAAUGCCAGAAUCUGCAAACUGGGUACCUUUUCAUUUGUCACAGGGAGAAUUUGGGAGAAUCGAUUAAAAGUUUGCGUAAAGCUCCAUAUCACAAAGACCAAUAUGAGCUGGGGCCUUCAACUCAGGGAUUGAAUUCAUCUAUUAAUGGUUAAAUUUUAGCCACACAAUGAACUUCCUGUCACAAGUAUUUUUAGAACUUUACAAUAUACUUAAUAUUUUUGUAUCUUUUGUUCCAGAUGACUCUUGUUGAGGCUUGGGGUGAUGACUUCACAUUCCAUUACUCCAAGGGGAUGUAGGUGUUACUGGAGGCUGUUGAAUCUAUUCCGACCACCAAUCUGCGCUAAGUGAUUGAUGAUGUGUUUGGCAGGCUUCCCAACUGAUCCUUCCGUUUAACUUGUGACUGAAGAUUUUCAAUUAUUGAUCUGUGAUGUAAUCUGUGAUAAAUGUUUUCAUUUACAUGUAGUAUUUAAUUUAAAAUUUUGACUUAAUAUUAUCGGUUAUUGAUUUGUGAUGUAUCUGUGACAAUUGUUUUCAUUAAACAUGCAUUUAGUUUGAAAA